This 232-nucleotide ribosomal RNA is filed under the name uncultured bacterium. RNAcentral's name for it is "partial 16S ribosomal RNA". It matches the Rfam family "Bacterial small subunit ribosomal RNA", at positions 333 to 582 of the family's 1533-position model. The record is from RNAcentral.
CUGGCCCUACGGGGCGCAGCAGUGAGGGAUAUUGGUCAAUGGGGGAAACCCUGAACCAGCAACGCCGCGUGAGGGAAGACGGUUUUCGGAUUGUAAACCUCUGUCCUCUGUGAAGAUAAUGACGGUAGCAGAGGAGGAAGCUCCGGCUAACUACGUGCCAGCAGCCGCGGUAAUACGUAGGGAGCAAGCGUUGUCCGGAUUUACUGGGUGUAAAGGGUGCGUAGGCGGCCCU